AACAUUUAAAGCAUUCUUUAUGCACUGUAAACAUCUGACAUUGUCUUUUUCAGUUUGCAGAACAUCUUCUUUCAGAUGAAGAAAUAGAUUUAUCAGCAAAGGCGAAUGAUGUAAAUAGGUACAGGCUGCAAAUUGCCACCACACUUCUAUUAGAAACUGAUGAUUUAUCUAACUUGUGCUGUGUUUGUGGGGAAGCUACACAUGACACAGACAACAGAUGGAUUCAGUGUGACGAGUGUUGCAGGUGGUUCCAUCUUGUAUGUGUCGGGGAGCCUCCAACCGAAGGCUCUUUUUUGUGUACAGCAUGUACAGAAAUUAAAUGCUAAAUAUUUGAAGCUUGCUUGAAGACCAUUUUGCUUUUUUUAAAUUAAAAUUUGUAUUUUUUCAUUUUAUUUUAUUAUUUAAAAAAAAAAAAAACAUUUUUUUUUUCUUAAUAAAGUUCAAAGUUAUAAUUUUUGAUGUAUGUUAUGUGAUUAAGAAACAAAGUUGUUUGACCAAAAUAAGGCCAAAGAAAUUGAUAAAGUGCAGUAAUAAUGGUAUCACUGCACAAAUCAUCAGAAAAAAACGGCUGGAGUCCAGCACUCACCGUUCUCAAAAUAAGGGGGGGGAACAUAUUCUCACGGGGCA
This is a long non-coding RNA of Syngnathus typhle (broad-nosed pipefish), 627 nucleotides long. RefSeq lists it as uncharacterized. The record is from RefSeq and is a predicted model, not a curated record. The transcript is spliced from 3 exons. NCBI's taxonomy places the organism in Eukaryota, Metazoa, Chordata, Actinopteri, Syngnathiformes, Syngnathidae.